GCGUUAUCUAAUUCACCAGUCAGAUGUUAUAGUGAAUUAUUCAUAAUUUUUCAAACUUUUCAUCAUGUAUAUUAUAAUUAUCAUGAUUAAAUAACCAGUAAAUUUAAUAUUUUUGUACAUAAAAUUUUGCAGCUAAAAUGCUGAAAACCGUUUUCCGUUUUAAGCGGCCCCCAGACCCCCUGCCGAUUGGUGCCUACAGUUGACAGAAUACCUAGCUACGCCCC
Molecule: long non-coding RNA, 224 nt
Filed under: Mytilus galloprovincialis (Mediterranean mussel)
Lineage: Eukaryota; Metazoa; Mollusca; Bivalvia; Mytilida; Mytilidae
Source: RNAcentral